Molecule: non-coding RNA, 110 nt
Filed under: uncultured Mallomonas
Lineage: Eukaryota; Synurophyceae; Synurales; Mallomonadaceae
Source: RNAcentral
UAGUUGAAGUGAAAGAGAGAGAAAAAAAGAAAGAGAAAGAGGAAGAAAACAUCACAAUCCUUGCAUCAUGGCAGUAACUGACGUCAGCUUCGGUUUUUCAGUUAUUUUCC